GCUGGUGUAACUCAAUUGGUAGAGUAACUGACUUGUAAUCAGUAAGUUGUCGGUUCAAGUCCGACCAUCAGCUCCA
RNAcentral lists this transfer RNA (76 nucleotides) under bacterium. RNAcentral describes it as "tRNA-Thr". It matches the Rfam family "tRNA". Rfam says of the family: Transfer RNA (tRNA) molecules are approximately 80 nucleotides in length. The record is from RNAcentral.